RNAcentral lists this ribosomal RNA (471 nucleotides) under uncultured bacterium. RNAcentral's name for it is "bacterial SSU rRNA". It matches the Rfam family "Bacterial small subunit ribosomal RNA", at positions 52 to 513 of the family's 1533-position model. The record is from RNAcentral.
UACAUGCAGUCGAACGGCAGCACAGCAGAGCUUGCUCUGUGGGUGGCGAGUGGCGGACGGGUGAGGAAUACAUGGGAAUCUGCCCAGUCGUGGGGGAUAACGUAUGGAAACGUACGCUAAUACCGCAUGCGCCCUUCGGGGGAAAGCCGGGGACCUUCGGGCCUGGCGCGAUUGGAUGAGCCCAUGUCGGAUUAGCUAGUUGGCGGGGUAAAGGCCCACCAAGGCGACGAUCCGUAGCUGGUCUGAGAGGAUGAUCAGCCACACUGGAACUGAGACACGGUCCAGACUCCUACGGGAGGCAGCAGUAGGGAAUAUUGGACAAUGGGCGCAAGCCUGAUCCAGCCAUGCCGCGUGUGUGAAGAAGGCCUUCGGGUUGUAAAGCACUUUUGUCCGGAAAGAAAAGCACUGGGUGAAUACCCUGGUGUCCUGACGGUACCGGAAGAAUAAGCACCGGCUAACUUCGUGCCAGCA